This 317-nucleotide ribosomal RNA is filed under the name Cephaloboides nidrosiensis. RNAcentral describes it as "SSU rRNA". It matches the Rfam family "Eukaryotic small subunit ribosomal RNA", at positions 260 to 590 of the family's 1831-position model. The record is from RNAcentral. Lineage: Eukaryota; Metazoa; Nematoda; Chromadorea; Rhabditida; Rhabditidae.
AGCAUAUCGCCGGUUUACCCGGCGACGACCGAAAGAAGUGUCUGCCCUAUCAACCAGAUGGUAGCCUAGUAGACUACCAUGGUUAUAACGGGUAACGGAGAAUCAGGGUUCGACUCCGGAGAGGGAGCCUUAGAAACGGCUACCACAUCCAAGGAAGGCAGCAGGCGCGUAACUUAUCCACUACUUUUGUGAGAUAGGGACGAAAAAUAAAAAGGCCAAUCCUUUGGAUUGGUUAUUUCAAUGAUUUGAGCCCAAAUAGCUCUUUGAUGACCCAGUGGAGGGCAAGUCUGGUGCCAGCAGCCGCGGUAAUUCCAGCU